AUUGAACGCUGGCGGCAGGCCUAACACAUGCAAGUCGAGCGGAUGAAGGGAGCUUGCUCCUGGAUUCAGCGGCGGACGGGUGAGUAAUGCCUAGGAAUCUGCCUGGUAGUGGGGGAUAACGUCCGGAAACGGGCGCUAAUACCGCAUACGUCCUGAGGGAGAAAGUGGGGGAUCUUCGGACCUCACGCUAUCAGAUGAGCCUAGGUCGGAUUAGCUAGUUGGUGGGGUAAAGGCCUACCAAGGCGACGAUCCGUAACUGGUCUGAGAGGAUGAUCAGUCACACUGGAACUGAGACACGGUCCAGAAUACUACGGGAGGCCGCAGUGGGGAAUAUUGGACAAUGGGCGAAAGCCUGAUCCAGCCAUGCCGGGUGUGUGAAGAAAGUCUUCUGAUUGUAAAUUACUUUAAGUUGGGAGGAAGGGCAAGAAGUUAAUACCUUGCUGUUUGGACGUUACCAACAGAAUAAGCACCGGCUAACUUCGUG
This 484-nucleotide ribosomal RNA is filed under the name uncultured bacterium. RNAcentral describes it as "partial 16S ribosomal RNA". It matches the Rfam family "Bacterial small subunit ribosomal RNA", at positions 30 to 507 of the family's 1533-position model. The record is from RNAcentral.